CCUACGGGAGGCAGCAGUGGGGAAUAUUGCACAAUGGGGGAAACCCUGAUGCAGCGACGCCGCGUGAAGGAAGAAGUAUUUCGGUAUGUAAACUUCUUUUGUCAAGGGACAAAAUCAGGCUCGAGAGCCUGACCGAGGGUACUUGAAGAAAAAGCAUCGGCUAACUCCGUGCCAGCAGCCGCGGUAAUACGGAGGAUGCGAGCGUUAUCCGGAUUUAUUGGGUUUAAAGGGUGCGUAGGCGGACUGUUAAGUCAGCGGUAAAAGCCCGGGGCUCAACCCCGGCGAGCCGUUGAAACUGGCUGUCUUGAGAUGUCGAGAGGUAUGCGGAAUGCGCAGGGUAGCGGUGAAAUGCUUAGAUAUUGCGCAGAACUCCGAUUGCGAAGGCAGCAUACCGGCGGCGAUCUGACGCUGAGGCACGAAAGCGUGGGUAUCGAACAGGAUUAGAUACCCCAGUAGUC
RNAcentral lists this ribosomal RNA (458 nucleotides) under uncultured bacterium. Its description in RNAcentral is "partial 16S ribosomal RNA". It matches the Rfam family "Bacterial small subunit ribosomal RNA", at positions 338 to 795 of the family's 1533-position model. The record is from RNAcentral.